CAAAACAGUUUGCAACCUGUGCACGCCUCAUCAUGUCUGAGCUCAGAAGCUAAACAGGGAUAGAGCUGGAUGGGAGACCAAUGUGGAUAACAGGUGCUGUUUGGC
Molecule: ribosomal RNA, 105 nt
Filed under: Amphilophus citrinellus (Midas cichlid)
Lineage: Eukaryota; Metazoa; Chordata; Actinopteri; Cichliformes; Cichlidae
Source: RNAcentral